RNAcentral lists this ribosomal RNA (427 nucleotides) under uncultured bacterium. Its description in RNAcentral is "bacterial SSU rRNA". It matches the Rfam family "Bacterial small subunit ribosomal RNA", at positions 355 to 774 of the family's 1533-position model. The record is from RNAcentral.
UGGGGAAUUUUGGACAAUGGGCGAAAGCCUGAUCCAGCCAUGCCGCGUGCGGGAAGAAGGCCUUCGGGUUGUAAACCGCUUUUGUCAGGGAAGAGACGAGUUUCUCUAAUACAGAGACUUAAUGACGGUACCUGAGGAAUAAGCACCGGCUAACUACGUGCCAGCAGCCGCGGUAAUACGUAGGGUGCGAGCGUUAAUCGGAAUUACUGGGCGUAAAGCGUGCGCAGGCGGUUGUGUAAGACAGGUGUGAAAUCCCCGGGCUUAACCUGGGAACUGCGCUUGUGACUGCACGGCUAGAGUAUGGCAGAGGGGGGUGGAAUUCCACGUGUAGCAGUGAAAUGCGUAGAGAUGUGGAGGAACACCGAUGGCGAAGGCAAUCCCCUGGACCUGUACUGACGCUCAUGCACGAAAGCGUGGGGAGCAAACA